CAGCCGCCGCGGUAAAACGGAGGGGGCUAGCGUUGCUCGGAAUUACUGGGCGUAAAGCGCACGUAGGCGGCUUGGUAAGUUAGAGGUGAAAGCCCGGAGCUCAACUCCGGAAUUGCCUUUAAGACUGCCGAGCUAGUAGGUGAGAGAGGUAAGUGGAAUUCCGAGUGUAGAGGUGAAAUUCGUAGAUAUUCGGAAGAACACCAGUGGCGAAGGCGGCUUACUGGCUCAUUCUAGACGCUGAGGUGCGAAAGCGUGGGGAGCAAACAGGAUUAGAUACCCGGGUAGUCCCUGUCUCUUAUAC
This 301-nucleotide ribosomal RNA is filed under the name uncultured bacterium. RNAcentral's name for it is "partial 16S ribosomal RNA". It matches the Rfam family "Bacterial small subunit ribosomal RNA", at positions 509 to 807 of the family's 1533-position model. The record is from RNAcentral.